GUGGAAGAAUGAUACCUUAGACACCCGAUGGGGUGACGUUGCUGAUAUUUUCUCAAUUUUCGGUACCCAUGGUGGCAUAAAAAUUUUCGAUUUCAACCCACAUCGCAUCCAGAUUGAAUAUCCAUCCAGUAAAUUUGUAUCAAGAUGAGAGACUACUCCACGUGUGAUGUUCGAUCUAUGUGAUUGGACGCGGAACGAUCUAUAUCAAAGUACGAAUGUCUGGAUCAGGAAGUAAUAAUAACAACGAUCUGAAGAAAAUGAAAUUAUUGAUGCCCGAUCUUCGAUCGUCGUAAAUGGAUCUAUAAGAAAAUUCGGCAGCCGUAAGGAAACAUAAAGGUCAUCUUCCAUCGACGUAACGCCUCUGCUCGACAUUUUUCAACUUUUAGUUUCUCCCCGCACGCCACU
Long non-coding RNA from Colletes gigas, 405 nucleotides. RefSeq lists it as uncharacterized. The transcript is spliced from 3 exons. Lineage: Eukaryota; Metazoa; Arthropoda; Insecta; Hymenoptera; Colletidae. The record is from RefSeq and is a predicted model, not a curated record.